Molecule: ribosomal RNA, 228 nt
Filed under: Triticum aestivum (bread wheat)
Lineage: Eukaryota; Viridiplantae; Streptophyta; Magnoliopsida; Poales; Poaceae
Description: partial small subunit ribosomal RNA
Source: RNAcentral
AUGAUAAAGGAGGAGCGUCAGGAGUUUUCCCUUAAGAUGGCGAAGAUGCGUCUUGAGAUUGAAGAAAAGUAUAAGAGGGACUGUGAGUACAUGGAAUUUUUUUUUCUUAGGCUACAAGGAAAUGCAUCAAACGUUGCAGAAGGACCGGAAGCUUGUGGACAGUAUUAUACAGACAGAGCGAGUCAAGAUGGAUGCCUAUGUGUUGCAGGAACGUGCGGAUAUGGAUAG